CCUACGGGUGGCUGCAGUGGGGAAUCUUGCGCAAUGGGCGAAAGCCUGACGCAGCGACGCCGCGUGAGCGAUGAAUGCCUUCGGGUUGUAAAGCUCUGUGGGGAGAGAAGAAUAAGGGUUGGCUAACAUCCAACCUGAUGACGGUAUCUCCUUAGCAAGCACCGGCUAACUCUGUGCCAGCAGCCGCGGUAAGACAGAGGGUGCAAACGUUGUUCGGAAUCACUGGGCGGAAAGCGCGUGUAGGCGACUUGAAAGCCCACGGCUCAAGCAUGGAAGUGCAUUCGAAACUGCCAGACUAGAGUCCUGGAGGGGAAGGCGGAAUACUCGGUGUAGAGGUGAAAUUCGUAGAUAUCGAGUGGAACACCGGUGGCGAAGGCGGCCUUCUGGACAGUGACUGACGCUGAAACGCGAAAGCGUGGGGAGCAAACAGGAUUAGAUACCCCUGUAGUC
RNAcentral lists this ribosomal RNA (450 nucleotides) under uncultured bacterium. Its description in RNAcentral is "partial 16S ribosomal RNA". It matches the Rfam family "Bacterial small subunit ribosomal RNA", at positions 338 to 795 of the family's 1533-position model. The record is from RNAcentral.